RNAcentral lists this ribosomal RNA (204 nucleotides) under Limnoraphis robusta CCAP 1446/4. RNAcentral describes it as "partial 23S ribosomal RNA". It matches the Rfam family "Bacterial large subunit ribosomal RNA", at positions 1 to 215 of the family's 2925-position model. The record is from RNAcentral. Lineage: Bacteria; Bacillati; Cyanobacteriota; Cyanophyceae; Oscillatoriales; Sirenicapillariaceae.
AAAGUACCAUAAGCAAAUUAAGAGCGCAUGGGGAAUUCCUCGGCUCUCAGAGGCGAAGAAGGACGUGACCAGCUGCGAUAAGCUGCGGGGAUCGGCACAUACGAAAUCAUCCGCAGGUUUCCGAAUGGGGCAACCCACCAUAUUGUAGAUAUGUUAUCCGCAAGGAGGCGAACCCGGGGAACUGAAACAUCUAAGUACCCGGAG